RNA transcript from Manis pentadactyla (Chinese pangolin), 3174 nucleotides. RefSeq lists it as uncharacterized. Lineage: Eukaryota; Metazoa; Chordata; Mammalia; Pholidota; Manidae. The transcript has 3 exons. The record is from RefSeq and is a predicted model, not a curated record.
AGGAAGGGGAGGGGAGGAAAGGGAGGGAUGGGGGUGUGGUGUAUGUGUGUAUGUGGGGGGUGGUGAGCCAGCCCCAGCUAAUGGCUGGGGCCAGCCUCUUCAAGGUGCGCGUUCAGAUUUGAAGGUGCCUCCCCCCCUUCUCUUUUCCUUCCUCUCAGAGAGAUACCUGAGCCAGCAGGUCAACUCAGGUUACCUCAACAAGUAUGAGACCCCUGAAGGGGUGGAAUGCCAGCAAGUGUAAGCAGGUCCUCUAACCCAAAAGAUGGGUUCCCCCAGGGGGUCCUUCAGGCUGGAGACUUUGAGGAACAAGCGCAUCGCAUCCCCAAAUAUUUCAGGCCUCAGAAGUCUCUACUUCCCUUGCUCCUCCUCCCCAGGGUGGGAAGCUGCCCUGCCUUCCCUUGAUCUUUAAGAAUCUCUUGUCGUCUCUAUGUGGGUGGAGGUGAGGGCCCAAGGUGGGGGCACACUAUAUACCUAGUCAGGGCCGCAGUGUUUCUUCAGACACCUGUCUGAGGAAAGAAGCCCAGGCAAUAGCCAGGAGCUUCGCUGGGAGCUCUUAGAGCAAAGCUUGUGGGGACCGAGAAGGAGAGGGUAGCUGGUGGGUCCCUGGCUCCUGGCUGGGCUGAUCCAGGAUGUUUCUUCUUAGAACACUACUUGUAUCUAGGUUGGAGGAGACUGGUGGAGGCCUCUUGUUCCCACAUACCCUAACCCCAUAGGAAAUUCCAGCUUAGCCUAGAGGGGCCCCCUGGCUUCACCUUACCCCUUACUUCCUAGACAGGCUGCCCAGGCCAGGAUGUAGAUGGGAACUGUCAACACUCUAAACAUUUACCCACACUUUCUCUAGGGGGUUCCCCCCAUCACCAAUACUGGGUAAAUUCAAGUUAAUUCUACCAGAUAAAAGAACCUUAGUCCAUCAGCACCCUUCUGUGGCCAUAAGUGAGUGUGGUUGGUUAUGUGAGCUUAACACAGAAAGAAAAGGGAGAAAGUGAGAGAGAUGUGGAUACGUGUGCUGUGUGCAUACGAAUGAAGAAGAGGAAUACGAAUGCUUUUUCCUGUCCUCCCCCUUCACAGUGUGUGAAGUUGUUACAUGCAGGGCAAUACUGGGACACACUCAAGAUACACUUAUACUUUAUAUGCUACCUUCCACUCUGUAACACAGCAAUGCAUGCUCGCUAAACUAUCAUGUGUGCCUGGAGGCAUCCCUGUCACCGAUACUGGGCACACACAUGCACACCCAGCCACAUAGGAGACUAACACCUGAUAAACACACAUGCAUCUUUACUCUUUGCAUCAUGAAAAAAAAACUGUUGCUUAUUCUCCUUCCACAUCCUGGGGUUUCAGGGUUGGAUGAGAAAGGAGGUAGUUAGAAAACCAGUUCUUAAUGUUUCCCCUCCGGAGUCCACCUCUGGGAUUGGAAGAAGGAAUGGCAGUGCACGGGAAGAUGGUGUAGAGAAUACCCUCCUGCCCCCAGUCACUAUAUUAUCUAAAUACCUGCUGGGGAAAUGGCCACUCUCAGCCAAAUUCCUCCCAAAUAUUCACUGGUACCCCAGCAUUUCCAGGGUACCCUGAAAUUGGAGGAUCCUCCCCCCUCUCCCCCAUACACACUUGAGUUAGGGACUGCCCAAACUCUGCUCUGACACCCAGAACUCCAACCCUGGAGCAGCAGGAGGGGAGGUCAGAGGAGGGCUGUGCCAGUGCUGCAAGUCUCCCUAGGGUCCAGGACGGUGGGGGGUACCACCCAGUUCUCCUCCACUACCAGAGCCUGCCCCAGCCUUGCCUUCUCUGAGACUACUCUGCGCGUACCGAGCAUUUGGGUCACUAGGGACUGUCAUAAAUACUUUCCCUUCCCCUGCUGGAAAGAGGAGGCUCUGGCAGGCUGGAUCCGCUCUGGGGCCUGCGCCUUAUCUUUUGGUAGGUGGGAGGAUAUCUCAACAUUUUAUGGUCCAACGAAAACCCUGCCAAAGAGCUAUUCUUCCAAGGCCUUUGUGUCUUGGAAUGCGACUGUCCCGAGUGUGCCGCCACCACCGCCUGCUCAGAGAGCCCACCAGCCAUGAAACCCCCUGGCUGGACUUGGUUUACCCUUUUGGGGUGGGGGUGUUCACUCGCCUUUUAUUUUUUUCAUUUGAUUAUUUUUUUUCUUUUACAUGUAUCUGGUUGAUUUCGCUCCCGGCGCCUGGAAAUAAAGGGACCGCAAGCAGCCAGCCUCGCCGGGGCAUCUCUGCCCCUUGCCCCGAUUCCUGUAUCGCCCUCCUAGGUGAGAGGAUUGAUUUGCUCAGAGCCAGUGGGGCCGGGCUGGGCCCGGGCUCGGGGCCUUCUCGCCGCUGCUCCUCCGGACCGGGCCUCAAAUGUCAGUGCCGCCAGAUGGGCCGGGGGCAUCCCCACCGCCUCUAACAUUGAGCAAUAGCGCCACCUCGCGUCCACUUGCUCCAAUGCAGUCCGGCCGGGAAAAAGCCAACAGAGCAAGUAAACCGCAGGCUUGGCCCGAAGGUGAGAAGUGGCAGGAAGGAGUUUCCAAAGAGAUGCACGGUGCAAAGGAACUGACGCGAUCUACCCCCAUUCAGGCGCAUUUCUGGGCUCGGAACACCUCCGCGCACUCAGAUUCACCCUCCGAAGCUCCCGCGACCGCCCGGCUGCGGUGCGCGCCCUAAGCUCCUCGCUCCUCUUACCCUGCCGUUGGUUCCAACCGCCUAUUUCUCCGCCGCCCACAGGACUUUGGGGUGGGACUCUGAGUGCUGCCAGCCGUUUGCCCCCUGGUUGGUAGCCCAUCCCUCUCUCUCACGCGCGCUCUACCUCUCCCUCCCAGCCGGUGAGAUCCUGUUCUCCGUGGGCCAUAGACAAAACAUUCCUAUAAUCCGAUUUCAAAGGAAAGGGUGUCCACCUUAUUUAAACCAUAAAACAAUUAAGCCCAGACGUCUAGCCAGCUCCGCGCUGCUGUUUUGUUCGGCCCCAUUCAGAAUCCAGCACAGGGAGACAAACAGCGCCAUAAAAGUGGCAUUUCGGGGCUGCGGAAAUGUACCUAUCCGCUGCCUUCCCAAGUGGAACAACCUUUAAGGUUUUGUGAUUCUGACAAAGGAGCAGAGGAGAGGUGGGAGGGGAAGAUUGCUAGCCCCCAUCCUCCCCACGCCAGCUUUCGUUUCUCUCCCAGAUGUGUGUUGUGCUGAUGCGGUUUUAAUUCAC